CCCGGCAAAAUCAUGGCUAAAGGAUACAAAAUUAUUUACAAGAUGUGGCGCGACAUGCGUUUUCUGAACUCACAUGUGUGAUAAUUUGGAGUUUCAGGCAUAGUCCCCUAAAACUGUUUAAUUUUUCUGCGACAUUUAGACAUACUAGCGUGAAGUCCGUGCAUUGCUAUGGGCAAAAAUGAAGUAAAUAUAUACCUGUUAAAAGUUAUCAUUUUGUCAUUUGUUCUAGAUUGAAUCAUACUUAUGAUAUCGUUUGUGCCAGAUCAAACCAUAGAUACCCAUUCUUGUCCCGAUCUUAUACGGGAUCCGACGUGUGUUUGGACCACCGCCACAGAUUGACAUCUUUAUAGUAGGUAAGGGUCAACUACACAAUGUAGCGAACACAUCCAAAAUUGUACAGCUUAACUGAAUUCAGCAAAUUGCCAUCUUAAUGCAUAAUCCAGCUCAAAAUGACAGGAUGAGUAGGUGACACAUACACACAAGAGAAGAAGUGAAGAUUUCUAAGGUGAAAGGGUGGCUGUUAGUUCUGUAGUGGAUGAUAGAUGUAUAAAUUCUGUAGUUUUAUGUUUGUCUGAGCAUGGGCUGUGGAGAAUUGCAUGUUCUCUGAGGGCGACGUGGCUCCCCUGUGAUGUAAACUGAACCUGUUUUGAACCUGAGACUGUGUGUUAUCAGUUUCCAUGAAAACUGAAAAAGUGAAAAUCAGGGAUGAUCGAGUCCGAGGAUGAACGGAACACCACCAAAGGUUGAAGUCCUUAUAUAGUGG
Molecule: long non-coding RNA, 763 nt
Filed under: Triticum aestivum (bread wheat)
Lineage: Eukaryota; Viridiplantae; Streptophyta; Magnoliopsida; Poales; Poaceae
Description: long non-coding RNA (TAES_LNC003710)
Source: RNAcentral